This 326-nucleotide ribosomal RNA is filed under the name uncultured eukaryote. RNAcentral describes it as "partial 18S ribosomal RNA". It matches the Rfam family "Eukaryotic small subunit ribosomal RNA", at positions 1470 to 1796 of the family's 1831-position model. The record is from RNAcentral.
CCCUUAGAUGUUCUGGGCCGCACGCGCGCUACACUGAUGAAUUCAACGAGCACUAACCUGUGCCGAAAGGUUUGGGUAAUCUUGUGAAAUUUCAUCGUGAUGGGGAUUGAUUAUUGCAAUUUUUAAUCAUAAACGAGGAAUGCCUAGUAAGCGUGAGUCAUCAGCUCACGUUGAUUACGUCCCUGCCCUUUGUACACACCGCCCGUCGCUCCUACCGAUUGAAUGUGCCAGUGAAAAGUUCGGAUUGGAGAUAGGAGACGGCAACGUAUCCUAUUUCCGAGAAAAUCUUUAAACUUUCCCAUUUAGAGGAAGGAGAAGUCGUAACA